CAUCCAUAUCUAGGUCUGCACAGAUACCCGCAAGGUACUCGAACGCUUUUCUAAUUUGAGCAUCCUUUUCCAG
This 73-nucleotide ribosomal RNA is filed under the name Karenia brevis. The record is from RNAcentral. Lineage: Eukaryota; Dinophyceae; Gymnodiniales; Kareniaceae.